GAUCAUGGCUCAGAUUGAACGCUGGCGGCAGGCCUAACACAUGCAAGUCGAACGGUAACAGGAAGAAGCUUGCUUCUUUGCUGACGAGUGGCGGACGGGUGAGUAAUGUCUGGGAAACUGCCUGAUGGAGGGGGGAUAACUACUGGAAACGGUAGCUAAUACCGCAUAACGUCGCAAGACCAAAGAGGGGGGACCUUCGGGCCGUCUUGCCAUCGGAUGUGCCCAGAUGGGAUUAGCUUGUUGGUGGGG
Molecule: ribosomal RNA, 249 nt
Filed under: uncultured bacterium
Lineage: Bacteria
Description: partial 16S ribosomal RNA
Rfam family: Bacterial small subunit ribosomal RNA
Source: RNAcentral